Aphis gossypii (cotton aphid) is the source of this 1567-nucleotide long non-coding RNA. RefSeq lists it as uncharacterized. The record is from RefSeq and is a predicted model, not a curated record. The transcript is spliced from 3 exons. Lineage: Eukaryota; Metazoa; Arthropoda; Insecta; Hemiptera; Aphididae.
UCUACACUUUACCUGGCAAACAAAUGGUUUCUAUAUGUAGCUAUCAUAAAACCGAUUUGGACUUAUUACGUACAAUUGUGGGAAUGUGCCAGCAAAUCUAACAGCGAAGACAUUCAACAUUGUCAAAACACUGCCCUUCCUACUAUUGUUGGAGUAUACUAAUUCGACUGGAAUGAACUUCAAUGAAGUAAUGCACCGAAAUUUGAAGAUAUCAUCAAUUAAGGAAAAAAAAAACAAAAAGUUUUUCCAAGCCAACGCAACUCCUAAACAACUUCUUGAAAGCUAAUUUUCAACUAUAGAAUACUCUACCAGUUCUAAUAGUUCAUCUAAAAAUGAAGUCCUGACAUGCAUUUUCGAAAUAAUAUACCUACUUAAAACUCAAAACAGUGCUAUUGAUGAUGUGUAACUAUAUAGUUGUAACAACCACUUAUUAACUUGACGUCGAUGCAUUAAGUAUGAAAGAUCAAGGUGGAUUUUUUAAUUUUAAUAGACUAUAGAACUACCAGACACCAGUAAAGAGUCAUUAUCAGAAAAUUUAUUCAAGUAAUAAAAUUAUAUUAUGAACACUGAGUCCUGAGAUUAUAGAUUCACUUGUGUAAACAUAUAAGCUGAUGUUCAUUAUACAAGAGACAUGGCAUUCUCGAAAACGAUUUGAGCGUGGAGGUAUGCAGGCUGUAUAUGGUUUAAAAUUCAUUAAAAAGUACACGAAAGUCCUUGCUGUAUACAUUAAUAAACACGCUCGCACAGCCGACAGAGCGCGCGAUAACUAAUGUCGAAGCAACCGCCAACUGAAUGUACAAUAUACAAUAGUCCCCAACGGAGAUUUUUACGGGAAGAGGAAAACAAGAAAAACAAAACACCGUUAAUUAUUACACGUGGUCUAUUUUAAUUUUUAUUGUUGUGUAAUAAUAUAAAAUAUAAUAAGUACUAAUGGCGUAAAAUCAUAUUUUUAAAGUACAAUUUAAGUAUUCAUCGUGUAUAUCGUGGUGCUAUUAUAAAUUAUAUUAUAUUAUUGUAUUGUAAUUAUUUAUAAACGAAAAUACGAUGCAAUAUUAUUAAUAUGAGGACAAAGGACAUAUUCACUGACCUGGAAUUUUGGCAAAAAAAAUGUAUAAACAACAUAAUAUAGUUGGGUUUUAUAAUUUUAUAAAAUUUUAUUUCACAUUUUAGUCUUAUAACGUUUUUGUUUUAGGUUUUAAGGUUAUGACCAAAAAAUACUAAACAACUUAAGCGAUAAGUAGUUUCACAGUAUAAAUUGUCUUCUAUCCUUUGAAUCAUCUGAAUCCAAAUUCGAUUAGAUAACUAUUAUAAUGUAAGACAAUGGUAAAUAGCUGUGCGUUACAAUUUAAAAUUCUUUACUCUCACAGUUUCAUAGCAUAAUAAUAUGUCUGCAUGCAUAAUAUAUAUUAUGAAUUUUACUCCGUUCUUAGGUAUUUAAUAAUACCACGACUAUUUUUAAUAUAAAAUGUUAAAUUAUUGUUUCUCUAGAGCUAUAUAAGUUUAUAUUACAAAUUCUAAUUUAUUUGAAAAUCAAUAAAAAUUCGGUCCUAUUAAAUCUAAUUUACAU